This 460-nucleotide ribosomal RNA is filed under the name uncultured bacterium. RNAcentral describes it as "partial 16S ribosomal RNA". It matches the Rfam family "Bacterial small subunit ribosomal RNA", at positions 338 to 795 of the family's 1533-position model. The record is from RNAcentral.
CCUACGGGAGGCAGCAGUGAGGAAUAUUGGUCAAUGGGCUUACGCCUGAACCAGCCAAGUCGCGUGAGGGAAGACUGCCCUAUGGGUUGUAAACCUCUUUUGUCAGGGAGCAAUUGGCGCUACGUGUAGCGUUAUCGAGAGUACCUGAAGAAAAAGCAUCGGCUAACUCCGUCCCAGCAGCCGCGGUAAUACGGAGGAUGCGAGCGUUAUCCGGAUUUAUUGGGUUUAAAGGGUGCGUAGGCGGAAUGCAAAGUCAGCGGUAAAAUCGCGGGGCUCAACCUCGCUCCGCCGUUGAUACUGGCGUUCUUGAGUGGGCGAGAAGUAUGCGGAAUGCGUGGUGUAGCGGUGAAAUGCAUAGAUAUCACGCAGAACUCCGAUUGCGAAGGCAGCAUACCGGCGCCCAACUGACGCUGAAGCACGAAAGCGUGGGUAUCGAACAGGAUUAGAUACCCCUGUAGUC